This is a long non-coding RNA of Vitis vinifera (wine grape), 2803 nucleotides long. RefSeq lists it as uncharacterized. Lineage: Eukaryota; Viridiplantae; Streptophyta; Magnoliopsida; Vitales; Vitaceae. The record is from RefSeq and is a predicted model, not a curated record. The transcript is spliced from 2 exons.
UGAUUUAAUUUUAAAUUUAAAAGUCAUUCAUGACUACCUUAUCAACUUGAAAAGGUAAUUUGGAGAUUGGUUGGAAAGUUAGAUAAUAUUUUUCUAUUUAUGGAGAUUAAUUAAUUUGAUUUGACAUUAAUUUUAAACUUUCCUUUUAAUAUAAAAUUUUAAUAACUUCUAAGUAAAAGGUCAUAUAAGUCUUUAUACUUUAUUUUUUAAAGAAGUUUCCCCUUUAGGAAUUAUAUUAACUACAAUAUAGUAAAUUAAAACUUGUCUAAUACACUAACAGGCAUAUGAAAAUUGAACCAAAUUUUGAUACUAAUCUUGACUUGGUUGUUUUCAUUUGUGCUCUUGUAGAUCUCAGAUUAGUUUAAUUUCUUAAAUUUGACAUAUUGGAUUAAGAUAUAUACCAUAAGUUUGGCAUAUAUUUUUUUACUCAUUUUAUAUCUUUUUUUUCAAUGAAAUAAUUUAGAUAAAAUGUGUAAUUCCACCUAUUUACCUAAAAACUAGAUGUUGUUGCAUGUAUACACUAUCAUUUAUUUUUUAAUAAAUAUAAUUAACUUUAUUUAUUUUUCAUUGUCAGGAUUGCAAAGUUUUGUCAUAUGUUGACAAGGUUUGUGGGUUUGUAAAAUAUAGUCUAGAUUAUGUGUUAAGAACAAGAAACCAAUUAUACCAAUUUUAUUAUUUAUUUCUCAAGUUAGUCUACCAAUGUAGGUUUAGAGUACAUCACUUAACAAAAGCUGUCCAAAUUCAUGAGCAUACCAUAUUUAUGUGGAGUUUGUUGUAGAUUUCCAAUAAGUUAAAAGAAACUUUAUUGUCUUUUCAAUGCCUUCUUCAACCUUGUGCACUCCACCUUAUACAAAGAAAAGAAGAGGAGAGGUCAUUUCUAAUUUUUGUUUUUUAAGUGGACCUUCAUUUAAAGUAUUUGAGGCCUCUUUCAAUAUUAAAUGUAUAUAUUAUUUUAUUACUAAAAGUUACUCUAGAUGGUUGAGUGACUACACAACUAAUCCUAAUUUAAAAAUAUAAAAGUUUUUAGUAUUCUUUAUGUGGGUUCAUAAAUGUGUUCUCCUUCCCUCCUUAUUACGUUUCUAUUUUUUUUCUUUUUUCUUUUAUAAAAAAACAAGAGAUCCAACUUUCAAUGUUUUUUAAUAAUAUAUGUUCAUUAUUAUUGAAUGGAAUGAGAUGUAGUGAUUAGACAAAGUGGUCUUCUAUUGUUGAUACAGGAAAACAAGUUAUCAUUUUAUAUGACAAUUAGGAGUAGAAGGUAAUGAUUGUGACAACUAGGAGUAGAGGGCAAGAUGCACAUAAGACAUUGUUUUUAAAGGCAAGUAUCUCCUCUAUUUAUAAAGGUAAUCCACCACUACACUAGAAACUUCUCUCUUAAAGAUAGAAUAGCUUGAAAGGAUGACUAAAUAGAAGAUAAAAUUUUAUUUCUAUUACUUUACAAAUUAAUUAUUUACUUUUAUAAUUGCAUAGGAGUUAUAUGUUAUCCUAAACAAGACAAUGAUACAUUUCAUGGUUUUAUUGAAAUAAAAUAUAAAAAGAAGUUUAUUUUCCUAUCCUUGGAUUCUUAUCAUACACUUACCUAAUGAUUUAUAUUUUCAAAAACUUUGAACAAGCACCUCUUAUCAACUCAAUAAAAUUAAAAGUCAAAGGAACUAAAAUAAAAGUAAAAACUAAUCAAGUAAAUAAAAAAUAAAAAUAUAAGAAAUUAAAAAAGAAAUUAAUAUUAACAUAGUGAUAGUAAGAUGGUUUUCAUCUUAUUUGGACCUUGGUAUUAUUUUUAACUGUGCAUAGUAGGUCUUAUGUUAUUCUUUUAUUUGAUAAUGUUUUAAGAGUUCUUUAUUAAAAGUCCAUAAGGAGCUGCCCCAACUCCUAUGCUUCAUUAAUUAGCUUUGAGGUUUGCAUUUGUUAAUAUUGAAAGAAACUAUGUGUUUCUUUCUUAUGAAGUAGGCAACUAUUAUCAUUGUAAUUCUUAAAAUUGAUGCUUUUGACGUUACUUGUUGGGAACAUGCAAGUAAGUCUACUAGUUGAAUAUUCAUGUUGAUCCACUAAGGGCAUAUUUGAGUGCAUUUUUUUCUUCUAUUAUUUUUCUUUCAUGAACUUUAUAUCAAUAAAUCAACAUCGGAAUAAACAAGAGUUCAAGUUCAUUGCAUUGCUUUUCAAAUAUAUAACUUAAUUCAUUCAUCUUUCAUUUGCUUCAAUUUUUGAUUGACUGCUAUUUUUAUUUUUAUUAAUAAGUUUGAACUCGAUAAUGAAUCAAUUUUCAAAUCUCAUGUAUGAUUGUUUGAACAUUCAUCAGCCAGUAUAUGAUUAUGUAAAUUUUGUUGAAUUUUAAAUUUCAUCAUCUGGUCAGAUUUGGUUAAAACUCUUCAUAAUAUACAUUAGUUUUUCUUGUAAAUUAUUUUGAAUUCCUUUUCUUAUAAUUUUCUCAUUUUCUUGUAGUGGCUAUUUUGUGAAAAAUUAAAUCUGUCAAUGUUUAUUUUUAUUUUUUUUAAUUAACCUCUUUUGAUUUAUGUUACUCUAAUGUUAUUGAUAACCUCUCUGAAGCAAAAGCCUAAUGAAGAAGACUUUGACAGGGAUGAUGCCAAUGACAAGCUUGCAAAGGAAAUUGGCUUACAAGAAGAAGAGAAAUCAUUACAAUAAAGCAAUGUUGGAAAUCAUGAAGAUGAUAUCAUUUAAAUCUUUAAGAGGUUGAACUAGACUUUUGUUGAUGAUGGUUUCUUUUUGUAGUUAUUGCACCAGUAUUUGUUCUUAUAUUGGAUUUAAAAAUUCUCAUUGAAAUAUUUUGAUCUAAUGAUCAAAUUUAUAA